CGGAAGUGUACAGUGCCAGCCGCUGGUUCGCCGGCAAGUCGAAGGUGAUCUCCGAUGGUAAAUUCGGAACUUCACCCGAGAUUAGAGAUUGAAUGUCAUUUUCGUAAUUUCGUAAGAUUGAGCUUUUCUGAGGAGGAGUGGCGGAGAGGACAAGUAAACAGCCUUGAGAGUGGUGGUGAAGAAUGAAAAGGGAGGAUAUGAGCUUAUGAAGACCGAGGCCUGAGGACGUAACCACUAAACCACCAUUGGUAUCUUCUAGAAGCUCUGUGAUUAUAUGCUCGUGAAAUUGGACCAUAUUUAGAAAUCUAGGGUUCCGCCUUAUGCGGUGGCGAUCAUGG
This 338-nucleotide unclassified non-coding RNA is filed under the name Hevea brasiliensis (rubber tree). Lineage: Eukaryota; Viridiplantae; Streptophyta; Magnoliopsida; Malpighiales; Euphorbiaceae. The record is from RNAcentral.